AUGGUGGAGGGAUCAGAUGAGGAUAUUCAAAACCUCAAAUUCCUCCUCCUCUGCUUCCAGGAAAUGUCGGGCCUGAAAAUAAACUUUGCCAAGAGCGAGGUAAUGGUCAUGGGAUAUUCCCAAGGGGAGGCCCAGCGGAUUGCCAACCGUUUGAACUGCCGCUUGGGGUCCUUCCCGAUGACUUAUCUAGGCAUGCCCCUUAGUGAUGCACGACUCCUGGAAAAGGAUCUCCGUCCAAUAGUCGCCAAGCUCCAACCUAGAAUGGAGCCUUGGCAAGGGAGAUGGCUUUCCAAAGCCGCUCGAGUGAUUCUAAUGAACUCCUCCCUUAUUAGCCUACUGAUGUAUAUCAUGGGAUUCUAUAGCCUACAUGAAUCCCUUCAUCAGGAAGUUACCAAACUACUCUCCCGCUUCUUUUGGGCGGGAGAGAACAAUAAG
This 435-nucleotide ribosomal RNA is filed under the name Triticum aestivum (bread wheat). RNAcentral's name for it is "partial small subunit ribosomal RNA". Lineage: Eukaryota; Viridiplantae; Streptophyta; Magnoliopsida; Poales; Poaceae. The record is from RNAcentral.